UUUUCCUACGGGGCGCAGCAGUAGGGAAUCUUCCACAAUGGGCGAAAGCCUGAUGGAGCAACGCCGCGUGGGUGAAGAAGGUCUUCGGAUCGUAAAACCCUGUUGUUAGAGAAGAAAGUGCGUGAGAGUAACUGUUCACGUUUCGACGGUAUCUAACCAGAAAGCCACGGCUAACUACGUGCCAGCAGCCGCGGUAAUACGUAGGUGGCAAGCGUUAUCCGGAUUUAUUGGGCGUAAAGGGAACGCAGGCGGUCUUUUAAGUAUGAUGUGAAAGCGUUCGGGUUAACCGGAGGAGGG
RNAcentral lists this ribosomal RNA (297 nucleotides) under uncultured bacterium. RNAcentral's name for it is "partial 16S ribosomal RNA". It matches the Rfam family "Bacterial small subunit ribosomal RNA", at positions 334 to 623 of the family's 1533-position model. The record is from RNAcentral.